Molecule: unclassified non-coding RNA, 158 nt
Filed under: uncultured Ascomycota
Lineage: Eukaryota; Fungi; Ascomycota
Description: sequence contains ITS2
Source: RNAcentral
CAACCCUCAAGCCCGGCUUGGUGAUGGGCCCCCGCCGUGUGGCGGGCCCGAAACUCGUAGGGCGCCGUGGCAGCGGGCUCUGAGCGUAGCAAGAGUGAAAACCUCCCUCGCUCCGGAGACCCCUCCACAGUCGCCUGGAGAACCCACGAAUCUUACAA